UUUUCUGCCACCGAAUACAUUAGCAUGGGAUAAUGGAAUAGGACCCUGUCCUCCUAUUUUCAGUUGGUUUUGGCAGCGCGAGGACUAGGGUAAUGAUUAAUAGGGAUAGUUGGGGGCAUUAAUAUUUAAUUGUCAGAGGUGAAAUUCUUGGAUUUAUGAAAGAUUAACUUCUGCGAAAGCAUCUGCCAAGGAUGUUUUCAUUAAUCAAGAACGAAAGUUAGGGGAUCGAAGACGAUCAGAUACCGUCGUAGUCUUAACCAUAAACGAUGCCGACCAGCGAUUAGGAGACGUUGAAUACAAAACACCACCAUCGGUGCGGUCGUCCUUGGCGUCGGUCUUUCGGGGCCGGCGCGGGGACGGCUUAGCCCGGUGGCACCGGUGAAUGACUCCCCUACCAGCUUGUGAGA
This 407-nucleotide ribosomal RNA is filed under the name Acanthamoeba sp. CHI1803. RNAcentral describes it as "SSU rRNA". It matches the Rfam family "Eukaryotic small subunit ribosomal RNA", at positions 785 to 1095 of the family's 1831-position model. Lineage: Eukaryota; Discosea; Longamoebia; Acanthamoebidae. The record is from RNAcentral.